This 253-nucleotide ribosomal RNA is filed under the name uncultured bacterium. RNAcentral's name for it is "partial 16S ribosomal RNA". It matches the Rfam family "Bacterial small subunit ribosomal RNA", at positions 524 to 776 of the family's 1533-position model. The record is from RNAcentral.
UACGUAGGGUGCGAGCGUUAAUCGGAAUUACUGGGCGUAAAGCGUGCGCAGGCGGUUUUGUAAGCCAGAUGUGAAAUCCCCGGGCUUAACCUGGGAAUGGCAUUUGGGACUGCAAGGCUGGAGUGUGGCAGAGGAGACUGGAAUUCCUGGUGUAGCAGUGAAAUGCGUAGAUAUCGGGAAGAACACCCGUGGCGAAGGCGGUUCUCUGGGACGGUACUGACGCUGAGACGCGAAAGCGUGGGGAGCGAACAGG